UACGAAGGGGGCUAGCGUUGUUCGGAAUUACUGGGCGUAAAGGGUGCGUAGGCGGGUCUUUAAGUCAGGGGUGAAAUCCUGGAGCUCAACUCCAGAACUGCCUUUGAUACUGAGGAUCUUGAGUUCGGGAGAGGUGAGUGGAACUGCGAGUGUAGAGGUGAAAUUCGUAGAUAUUCGCAAGAACACCAGUGGCGAAGGCGGCUCACUGGCCCGAUACUGACGCUGAGGCACGAAAGCGUGGGGAGCAAACAGG
This 253-nucleotide ribosomal RNA is filed under the name uncultured bacterium. Its description in RNAcentral is "partial 16S ribosomal RNA". It matches the Rfam family "Bacterial small subunit ribosomal RNA", at positions 524 to 776 of the family's 1533-position model. The record is from RNAcentral.